CCGCUAACAAGAACCUGGAGGGGCGCAAAACAAAGAUGAGUGGGUCAGUAAAAUCAAAGACUUUCCAAAACAUUUCAUUUAAAAUAUUUCUAACUCCUCACCGUAAAACCUGUAUACUUUCCCAGAAAAAUAGUAUAUAAACAUAUAUAUACACAUAUCAUCAAAACUCAGCUCAUAUCCAUCAACAUAACAUAUCAGAAAUAA
RNAcentral lists this long non-coding RNA (204 nucleotides) under Malus domestica (apple). RNAcentral describes it as "long non-coding RNA (MDOM_LNC015817)". The record is from RNAcentral. Lineage: Eukaryota; Viridiplantae; Streptophyta; Magnoliopsida; Rosales; Rosaceae.